This 465-nucleotide ribosomal RNA is filed under the name uncultured bacterium. RNAcentral describes it as "partial 16S ribosomal RNA". It matches the Rfam family "Bacterial small subunit ribosomal RNA", at positions 338 to 795 of the family's 1533-position model. The record is from RNAcentral.
CCUACGGGAGGCAGCAGUGGGGAAUAUUGCGCAAUGGGCGAAAGCCUGACGCAGCGAAGCCGCGUGAGGGAUGAAGGUCUUCGGAUCGUAAACCUCUGUCAGCAGGGAAGAACGGUCACUGUGCUAAUCAGCAGUGAAUUGACGGUACCUGCAAAGGAAGCACCGGCUAACUCCGUGCCAGCAGCCGCGGUAAUACGGAGGGUGCGAGCGUUAAGCGGAAUUACUGGGCGUAAAGCGCUCGUAGGCGGUAUGUCAAGUCAAGGGUGAAAUCCCCGCGCUCAACGUUGUAACUGCCUUUGAAACUGGCAAACUGGAGUGUGUGAGAGGAUAGUGGAAUUCCAGGUGUAGGCGUGAAAUCCGUAGAUAUCUGGAGGAACAUCAGUGGCGAAGGCGACUAUCUGGCACAUAACUGACGCUGAGGAGCGAAAGCGUGGGUAGCAAACAGGAGUAGAUACCCUGGUAGUC